RNAcentral lists this ribosomal RNA (1300 nucleotides) under Trigonopterus carinirostris. Its description in RNAcentral is "16S ribosomal RNA". The stretch from base 608 to 1300 matches the Rfam family "Archaeal large subunit ribosomal RNA", at positions 1423 to 2816 of the family's 2987-position model. Lineage: Eukaryota; Metazoa; Arthropoda; Insecta; Coleoptera; Curculionidae. The record is from RNAcentral.
GAUAAAAGGAUUAUUAGGUUUAAAAGGUUAAUAUGAUUUAAUAGAAAUAUGGAGUAAGUUUUAUUAACAUGUGUGAAUAAAUUAAGAUUUAUUUUUAUGAUAGAUGACUAGUAUUGUGAGAGAAUUUUUUUGAAUUUUUAAAAAGAAGAAUUAAGUCUUUGUACCUUGUGUAUCAGGGUUUAUCAAAUAGAAUUUUUAAAUUUUAAAUUUCUCGAAUUUAGAAGAGCUACAAAUAUAUGAGAUUUGUUGUGGAAAAAAUAUAUUUAAUAUAUUUGUUGAAGUAAAAUGCUAAGCGAUUUUAAAUAUAUCUAGUUUUUUAAGAAAAAAAUUUAAUUUUAUUUUUAUUUACUAUAAGUUUAAUUUUUUAAUAAUAUAGUAGUAAGAUUUUAAUUUUUAGGGGAUGAGCUUUAGGAAUUAGUUACAUAAUUUUAUAAAAGGUAUUAUAGUUCUAAUUAGGAUUGUUAGUUUCUAUUUUUUUUAGUGUGUUAUUACUAGGGAUAUAAUUUUAUAAUUUUUAUUUGGUUUGUUUGGAUUAUUAAAAUAUAAAUUUAAAUUUUGAAAAUUUAGGAAUGAUGAUAAAAUUAGUAUAAUUGUUUGUAUUAAGUGAGAGUUUUAAAAGGUUUGGUAAAGGAAUUCGGCAAAUAUAUUUUUCACCUGUUUAAUAAAAACAUGGCUUGUUGAUUAUAAUUUCAAGUCUGACCUGCCCACUGAGUAGUUGAAUGGCCGCGGUAAAUUGACCGUGCAAAGGUAGCAUAAUCAUUAGUUUUUUAAUUGAAAGCUUGUAUAAAAGGUUUGAUGAGAAAAUUACUGUCUCUAUUAGAGUUUAUUGAAAUUUUAUUUUUAAGUUAAAAAGCUUAAAUUUUCAUAGAAGACGAGAAGACCCUAUAGAGUUUUACACAAGUUUUGGAAUAAAGAAUGUAAAGGAUAAAAGGUUUAGAUUUUAUAUAUUGUGUUUUAUUGGGGUGAUAGAAAAAUUAAGGGAACUUUAUUUUUAUUUAAAUAUUUAUUUAUAGGUUUUUGAUCCUAAAGUUUAGAUUAAAAGAUUAAACUACCUUAGGGAUAACAGCGUAAUUUUUCUUAGAGUUCUUAUCAAAAGAAAAGUUUGCGACCUCGAUGUUGGAUUAAAAUUUAUUAUUGGUGUAGAAGCUAGUAAGGUAGGUCUGUUCGACCUUUAAAAUUUUACAUGAUCUGAGUUUAGACCGGUGUGAGCCAGGUUGGUUUCUAUCUCUAUGAAGAUAAAAUAUUUUAGUACGAAAGGACCAGAUAUUUGAUUAAUAAUUUUAUUUUUGAAUAUUAAUAA